UACGUAGGGGGCGAGCGUUAUCCGGAUUUACUGGGCGUAAAGCGCGUUAAGGCGGUUGGCAAAGUUGGUUGUGAAAUCUCAGGGCUCAACCCUGGAACUGCGACCAAUACUGGUUGACUAGAGUCCGGAAGAGGAGAGUGGAAUUCCUGGUGUAGCGGUGAAAUGCGCAGAUAUCAGGAAGAACACCCGUGGCUAAGGCGGCUCUCUAGUACGGUACUGACGCUGAGACGCGAAAGCGUGGGGAGCGAACAGG
This 253-nucleotide ribosomal RNA is filed under the name uncultured bacterium. RNAcentral's name for it is "partial 16S ribosomal RNA". It matches the Rfam family "Bacterial small subunit ribosomal RNA", at positions 524 to 776 of the family's 1533-position model. The record is from RNAcentral.